Molecule: ribosomal RNA, 263 nt
Filed under: uncultured archaeon
Lineage: Archaea
Description: partial 16S ribosomal RNA
Rfam family: Archaeal small subunit ribosomal RNA
Source: RNAcentral
AGUCACUGACAUUAGAUACCCGGGUAGUCCAGGGUGUAAACGCUGCAGACUUGGUGUUGGAAAUCCUUCGAGGGUAUUCAGUGCCGGAGAGAAGUUGUUAAGUCUGCUACUUGGGAGUACGUCCGCAAGGAUGAAACUUAAAGGAAUUGGCGGGGGAGCACCGCAACGGGAGGAGCGUGCGGUUUAAUUGGAUUCAACACCGUAAACUCACCAGGGAAGACUGUUACAUGAAGGCCGAGAUGAAGACUCUGCUAGAUUUUCAG